RNAcentral lists this ribosomal RNA (254 nucleotides) under uncultured bacterium. Its description in RNAcentral is "partial 16S ribosomal RNA". It matches the Rfam family "Bacterial small subunit ribosomal RNA", at positions 524 to 776 of the family's 1533-position model. The record is from RNAcentral.
UACAGAGGUCUCAAGCGUUGUUCGGAUUCAUUGGGCGUAAAGGGUGCGUAGGCGGCGCGGUAAGUCGGGUGUGAAAGUCUCGGAGCUUAACUCCGAAACUGCAUUCGAUACUGCCGUGCUUGAGGACUGGAGAGGAGACUGGAAUUUACGGUGUAGCGGUGAAAUGCGUAGAUAUCGUAAGGAAGACCAGUGGCGAAGGCGGGUCUCUGGACAGUUCCUGACGCUGAGGCACGAAGGCCAGGGGAGCAAACGGG